This 109-nucleotide non-coding RNA is filed under the name Sinomonas sp. RNAcentral's name for it is "SAM-IV sequence". It matches the Rfam family "SAM (S-adenosyl methionine) riboswitch aptamer". From Rfam's summary of the family: SAM-IV is a mRNA element that regulates gene expression via direct sensing of S-adenosylmethionine (SAM or AdoMet). SAM-IV riboswitches share conserved nucleotide positions with the previously described SAM-I riboswitches sequence analysis and molecular recognition experiments suggest that SAM-I and SAM-IV riboswitches share similar ligand binding sites, but have different scaffolds. Lineage: Bacteria; Bacillati; Actinomycetota; Actinomycetes; Micrococcales; Micrococcaceae. The record is from RNAcentral. RNAcentral also lists the same sequence under 1 other name.
AGUAAUGAGCGCCAGUGGGAAGCCCUGACUAGCUGGCCGGCAACCCUCCGUUCGGCGGGGUGCCUCAGGUGAGUACUCGGCGUUCGUUGAUCGAGAGCAAAGCCCGAAG